UACAGAGGGUGCGAGCGUUAAUCGGAAUUACUGGGCGUAAAGCGUGCGUAGACGGUAGCGUAAGUCAGAUGUGAAAGCCCCGGGCUCAACCUGGGAAUUGCAUUUGAGACUGCUCUGCUCGGGUGCGGAAGAGGGAAGCGGAAUUUCCGGUGUAGCGGUGAAAUGCGUAGAUAUCGGAAGGAACACCAGUGGCGAAAGCGGCUUCCUGGUCCGACACCGACGUUCAGGCACGAAAGCGUGGGGGAGCAAACAGG
This 254-nucleotide ribosomal RNA is filed under the name uncultured bacterium. Its description in RNAcentral is "partial 16S ribosomal RNA". It matches the Rfam family "Bacterial small subunit ribosomal RNA", at positions 524 to 776 of the family's 1533-position model. The record is from RNAcentral.